UAAAAGAUUUAUCGGUUUGGGGUGGGCUCGCGUCCGAUUAGGUAGUUGGUGAGGUAACGGCCCACCAAGCCGACGAUCGGUAGCCGACCUGAGAGGGUGAUCGGCCACAUUGGGACUGAGACACGGCCCAAACUCCUACGGGAGGCAGCAGUGGGGAAUAUUGGGCAAUGGAGGAAACUCUGACCCAGCAACGCCGCGUGGAGGAAGAAGGUUUUCGGAUCGUAAACUCCUGUCCUUGGAGACGAGUAGAAGACGGUAUCCAAGGAGGAAGCCCCGGUUAACUACGUGCCAGCAGCCGCGGUAAUACGUAGGGGGCAAGCGUUGUCCGGAAUAAUUGGGCGUAAAGGGCGCGUAGGCGGCUCGGUAAGUCUGGAGUGAAAGUCCUGCUUUUAAGGUGGGAAUUGCUUUGGAUACUGUCGGGCUUGAGUGCAGGAGAGGUUAGUGGAAUUCCCAGUGUAGCGGUGAAAUGCGUAGAGAUUGGGAGGAACACCAGUGGCGAAGGCGACUAACUGGACUGUAACUGACGCUGAGGCGCGAAAGUGUGGGGAGCAAACAGGAUUAGAUACCCUGGUAGUCCACACUGUAAACGAUGAAUAAUAGGUGUAGGGGGUAUCGACCCCUUCUGUGCC
This 629-nucleotide ribosomal RNA is filed under the name uncultured bacterium. RNAcentral describes it as "bacterial SSU rRNA". It matches the Rfam family "Bacterial small subunit ribosomal RNA", at positions 201 to 847 of the family's 1533-position model. The record is from RNAcentral.